AUCCUAUCAAGUGCGUUGAACAUUUUUCUUUGGCACUAUGUCGCCCCGAGCCCCAAUCGCCACAGCUACCGUCACCGCCUAGUUGUUUGCCGGAAUUGAAUCUCUGGUCAUUAUUUUUAGAUACGAGACUAAGAAAUAGAAUAGGCAAUAGAGAAUCUGUUUGGAAGUUCUGGUAGCAAGUUAGGCCCUUGUUUAGUUUCCAAAAACUUUCAAGAUUCUCCAUCGCAUCGAAUCUUGUGACACAUGCAUGGAGCAUUAAAUAUAUAUAGAUGAAAAUAAAAACUAAUUGCACAGUUUACCUGUAAUUUGCGAGAUGAAUCUUAUGAGCCUAAUCUCUACUAUAAUGAAACACUUCAAAUUAUACUAGAUCUACCCAAUAAAACUUCCCCCGUUGAGAAUCUCUUAUCUCUAUACACUCAGAAAAAUGUACACAGAAAGUUGUCUUUAUUAAAAUCAAAGGCUAUAAAACAUAUCUUCCAUGCUUGAGCCCAAUCAUGCGGCGGAGAUUGAUCGCAGGCUUCAACACUACGGCUUCAACGCGACCUGAGUCCUCACCCUUCCCCGCCCCGGAUCGCGGCUUCAACAGGGUUACGAUCAAUCACCAAGAAAAAGAGGAAAAGAAACCGACAGUCCGACCUCCAUGGUGUCCGACGACGACGACGCGGUGCGCAACAAAGACGGCCGAUCCCUCCUCCACGUCACUACCGCUGCCGGCCAUACCCGGGCGAGUAGAGGAUUCGGGGAGAGUGCGACCCGGUCGGAGGGCGCGACGAGAGCGGAGGACGCGAGCCAGCGCAAGCACCGCCACUGUGCAGGCGAGCGCGAGCUCCGCUCCGCUAGGGCCGUAGCCGCCACCUCAUGCUCAGCCUCGCCCUCGCCCUCACUGCCUUGCUCGCACUCGCCUCCACAUCCGAAUCUGACCACCUAUGUUACACGGAUACAGAUACGCGUAUCGGUAUCGGAAGGAUACGGAUAUGCGGAUACGUCAAUUUUCUGAAAAAUCCGAUACGUGGAUACGUUUAAUAAUUAAAAAAAUAAAAAUAAAUAAAAAUAAUGCAUGUCUAAAUUUAAAGCUGAUAGCAAUAAAGUUGAUAGCCUUAAUGUCUGUUGGCUGUGUGGCUGCAGAUCCUACACUACCAGUACCAUUAGCACUAGCACCACUCAAAUUGGGAGACGCCAUCUACAACAAUCAAGCAAUAGGAAUCACUAACUCUAGUUCCACUAUUGAAAUAGAAUAGAUCAAGAAUGGGGAAGGGGAUUCACUCACUCACCGCUCACUGGAGGUCGACCCCGAUCCGGCAGGCUGGAGACUUGGCGAUGGCGGCCGGCGAGCAAGGGCGGACAGUGCUCGGCAGGCUGGAGACUUGGCGAUGACGAGCGGACGGGUGCUAGCCUGCUGCCGGCGGACGGAGAGCAGGGAAGCCAGGGAGGGUCGCGCCGUCGCGGGAUGGGAGCUCGUCGCCGG
Molecule: long non-coding RNA, 1465 nt
Filed under: Sorghum bicolor (sorghum)
Lineage: Eukaryota; Viridiplantae; Streptophyta; Magnoliopsida; Poales; Poaceae
Description: long non-coding RNA (SBIC_LNC001380)
Source: RNAcentral